This is a long non-coding RNA of Sinocyclocheilus rhinocerous, 302 nucleotides long. RefSeq lists it as uncharacterized. The record is from RefSeq and is a predicted model, not a curated record. The transcript is spliced from 3 exons. NCBI's taxonomy places the organism in Eukaryota, Metazoa, Chordata, Actinopteri, Cypriniformes, Cyprinidae.
GAUAAAGUUGAAGAGACCGUGCAGCCACAGAAGCUUGUGCAUGAAAAAGCCUCAUUGGACAAAGUUGCCACGAUCAAGCCCCGCCCCUCGAGUCGCUUUUUGGCCACAUCCAUGGAUUUGAAUCCGUCCACGUCUGAAAGGCCAGGAGUUGCUGUAGUUCCCCCUAGUGUUCCUGCAAGAUCCCAUGGAAGUUAUGUUCGUGUGCCAAAAAGCUGUAUGAGAAGACAAAAGUCCAUUGGAAUUGCAGGAGAAGAAAAGAAGCUCCUCAUACCUCCACUGCUCAAGUUCACCAGAAGUCUCUC